GAUGAACGCUGGCGGCGUGCUUAACACAUGCAAGUCGAACGGAAAGGCCCAAGCUUGCUUGGGUACUCGAGUGGCGAACGGGUGAGUAACACGCGGGUGAUCUGCCCUUCACUUCGGGAUAAGCCUGGGAAACUGGGUCUAAUACCGGAUAGGACGAUGGUUUGGAUGCCAUUGUGGAAAGUUUUUGCGGUGUGGGAUGAGCUCGCGGCCUAUCAGCUUGUUGGUGGGGUAAUGGCCUACCAAGGCGUCGACGGGUAGCCGGCCUGUGAGGGUGUACGGCCACAUUGGGACUGAGAGACGGCCCAGACUCCGACGGGAGGCAGCAGUGGGGAAUAUUGCACAAUGGGCGCAAGCGUGAGGCAGCAACGCCGCGUGGGGGAUGACGGCCUUCGGGUUGUAAACUCCUUUCGCUAGGGACGAAGCGUUGUUGUGACGGUACCUGGAGAAGAAGCACCGGCUAACUACGUG
RNAcentral lists this ribosomal RNA (468 nucleotides) under uncultured bacterium. RNAcentral describes it as "partial 16S ribosomal RNA". It matches the Rfam family "Bacterial small subunit ribosomal RNA", at positions 28 to 507 of the family's 1533-position model. The record is from RNAcentral.